Molecule: ribosomal RNA, 594 nt
Filed under: uncultured eukaryote
Lineage: Eukaryota
Description: eukaryotic LSU rRNA
Rfam family: 5.8S ribosomal RNA (bases 183-337)
Source: RNAcentral
UUCCGUAGGUGAACCUGCGGAAGGAUCAUUCACACACACAUCUAACCUCACAUAUUGCACUUUCGCUUGUGGCGCGAGGGGCAAGGUCGCAAGACCAUGCCCCCCGGCGCCAAGCGUGGCUUUUGCAAGCCUGUUCGAAAUUCUUUUUUUUUUUGAUAGCCAUUUUCAAUGGCUUUCUUUACAACCUUCAGCGACGGAUGUCUCGGCUCCAAAAACGAUGAAGGGCGCAGCGAAGUGUGAUAAGCAUUGUGAAAUGCAGAACUCCGUGAAUCAACAGAAUUUUGAACGCAUUUUGCGCUGCCGGGACAUCCCUGGCAGCAUGCCUGCUUCAGUGUCUACUUGUUUGUUCCAAUGGUUUCCCAGACUCAAACUCUGCGAAAUCUGUUGUGAGUGAACUUGCUUGUCAUUUGGCUGCAAGCCAGCCAACUGUCAAGCAUGCUUGCUUAAGUCGAUGGACGCAACUAAACUUAUCUGCUUUCGCAACGCGGAACGUUAGUUUGUUGUGCUGCAUGGGCUUACGACCUUCGCGUGCAGCGAAGCUUAUAAUCAGACAUGAAGUUAGGUCAGCAAACCUGCUGAAUUUAAGCAUAUCAA